GAUGAACGCUGGCGGCGUGCUUAACACAUGCAAGUCGAACGGUGAAAGAGAGCUUGCUCUCUGGAUCAGUGGCGAACGGGUGAGUAACACGUGAGCAAUCUGCCCCUGACUCUGGGAUAAGCGCUGGAAACGGCGUCUAAUACCGGAUACGAGCUGCGAAGGCAUCUUCAGCAGCUGGAAAAAACUUCGGUCAGGGAUGAGCUCGCGGCCUAUCAGCUAGUUGGUGAGGUAACGGCUCACCAAGGCGUCGACGGGUAGCCGGCCUGAGAGGGUGACCGGCCACACUGGGACUGAGACACGGCCCAGACUCAUACGGGAGGCAGCAGUGGGGAAUAUUGCACAAUGGGCGAAAGCCUGAUGCAGCAACGCCGCGUGAGGGACGACGGCCUUCGGGUUGUAAACCUCUUUUAGCAGGGAAGAAGCGAAAGUGACGGUACCUGCAGAAAAAGCACCGGCUAACUACGUG
RNAcentral lists this ribosomal RNA (466 nucleotides) under uncultured bacterium. Its description in RNAcentral is "partial 16S ribosomal RNA". It matches the Rfam family "Bacterial small subunit ribosomal RNA", at positions 28 to 507 of the family's 1533-position model. The record is from RNAcentral.